Molecule: long non-coding RNA, 2161 nt
Organism: Mauremys reevesii (Reeves's turtle)
Lineage: Eukaryota; Metazoa; Chordata; Testudines; Geoemydidae
Exons: 3
Source: RefSeq, a predicted model, not a curated record
UUAUCCUGUCCCUUGAUUGGUCCUCUGGUCAGGUGUUCCUCAGGUUACUGAGCUUGUUAACCCUUUACAGGUAAAAGGGACUUUAACCCUUAACUAUCUGUUUAUGACACAGGCUAGAUGGAGAUGGCCAUGGACCUUGCAGACCCUUCUCCAACACACGUAUUGGGUGCUGCAGGGAGGUGAAGGAUGAAAUGGUUGGCACAGAGAUGAAUCAGGCACAAGAGUUGAACAGUGGUGUGUGCUCAGACCCUGAUGGAAAAGGUUUUGUGGGAUGCAGCGGCACUAGAAAAAAGGCUACAGAAGAAGCUAGUGGCUUCAGAACAAGGCUCUGCAAGCAGUUGUUAAUGAGAAUGAGUAGCUGCAGGAAGAGAAGGAUGGCCUCUGAGUUCUGGUGAGCGAGCUGGCUGGGGAGCUGGAGAUGCCACGCGCCCAGGCUGUACGAGUGCAUAGCCGGUGACAGCGACGAGAUGGUGAGGGAUGAAGAUUGGACAAGAGUAGAACUUGCCCCCGGGUUGGGCCGGAUUUUAAGGAGGAGGGAUUAUUUCACAGGGUGGUUGGCCUGUGGUUGCAAAGCCUGGAGCUAGGCCAAAUUGAUGACCAAGUGAGCCCCACCUGAGACGAAAGAAGGAAAAACAGCAGCAAAAGUACAGAAGCAGCCCUAGCUGUUCAGUAUACGGCCUUGGGCCAAAACCUGGAGUCCAGGGGUAGGACUGGGUUCUCCCACCGUCCGUAAGGAAGGGGACAUAGAAGACCAUAGAAACCCAAGAGGGGCAGGCCAAGCCGAAAUCAGGCUGAGGAAGAGCUCCCCAGGAGGGUGGAAGCCCUAGUUUCUGUUCAAGACAUUUUUGGACUUUGUUUGGAAGGAGCAUGACCCAGGAAGGAGUGGACCAAAGGACAGUCACCUGGCUGGAGGGCUGAGUUCCCAGCCAACAAGCUGCAAGAGUGAUUAUCAACGGGGUUGCUAGCCCAGCUAGAAAGCUGUGACACGAGGCCUGGCCAGGAUUUAGCGUCUCUGUCCCACAGAUGUAUGCUGCAGCCAGCCCAGCUCAGAGAGCAGUGGGGAGAGAUGAUCUCAUCCUGUCACACCAAGCAACAUGGGUCCCAUUGAGGCUUAGAUGGAAGAUCCCAUUCAUCUCCUGGAGAGGAUGUGUCCGGGAUCCUGGAGACUGUUUCCUGCCGGAGGUUUGAGCGGGGAGAGAUCAGUCACUGUCAUGACCCCUGGGUCAUUAACUCGGGUCUGCAGGGCUCAUGGGAGCAGCCACACUACAGCAGGCCACCUGGAAGCCUACUAAAAACUGCUUACCUAGGACUUAACGAAGUCUUUUGCUUCUGCUCUUCCAAUAUUCUGACCCAGCUGACUCUCGACUCCUGUCUUCUGAGUGUGGACUCUGCCUCUGACCACUAGGUCUGGCUGCCCGUGACCCAGCCAUGACACUGACUUUUCUACAAUUCCUCCAGUGCCCUUUUCUGCUCUCCAGCUCUGCUCUCCCAGCAAGACACACCAAUCACCUGGCUCCCAAAGUCCUGGUUGCUGCUAUUCAAGGGCUCGGGGUAGUGCUUGUAUGGCCCCCUCCCCCACCACAGCUGCUUUUCCUAAGGGAUUCUCCCUAGUCCAGAGGAGAAAUCUGCUCUUCUCUUAGAAUCAGUCCUGGCAGCAAUUCAGGAAGUCAUAGUAGGGACGGUCUGCUAAGCUCCCUCUGCAAUGCCACUGUCAGAGACCAUUACUGGUGGGUGCCAAGUGACUGUGCAGGGAGCUCCUUGAGAGACUCCUAGGGGCAGGGUAGUCAUGUUUCACGCUGACCUCUGAAAGCCAUGCAAAGAGUGCAGCAUUGACAAGACUCUCCUGCUGUAACAAAGGGUUUCUGUUCUCCUACAUAGUCAGACAGUGAGGCCAGUUUUCAGAAUGUGGAAGAGCUGUUUGAUGAUGAGUUGGAGGAUUCACCGUAUAGGUGGCAGCAGCUGCAGAUCCUGGAGUCCCUAUGGUAGGGUUACCAUGCAUCCAGAUUUUUGGUUUUUAAAUAGCCAUCUGGGAGGAAUUUGUAAAAAUCUAAAAAGGUCCGGGAUUUCCCUCCAAAUGCAGAGCGCGAUGUGGCUGACACGACGGUUAGGCCGUAUUGAUCCACUUGCAUCCAGGCCUCCAGCAGCCAGUGCCCCUUCCCUG